UGCUAAGGCUGAUGGCGACCGGCGCACGGGUGAGUAACACGUAUCCAACCUGCCGUCUACUCUUGGCCAGCCUUCUGAAAGGAAGAUUAAUCCAGGAUGGCAUCAUGAGUUCACAUGUCCGCAUGAUUAAAGGUAUUUUCCGGUAGACGAUGGGGAUGCGUUCCAUUAGAUAGUAGGCGGGGUAACGGCCCGCCUAGUCAACGAUGGAUAGGGGUUCUGAGAGGAAGGUCCCCCACAUUGGAACUGAGACACGGUCCAAACUCCUACGGGAGGCAGCAGUGAGGAAUAUUGGUCAAUGGGCGAUGGCCUGAACCAGCCAAGUAGCGUGAAGGAUGACUGCCCUAUGGGUUGUAAACUUCUUUUAUAAAGGAAUAAAGUCGGGUAUGCAUACCCGUUUGCAUGUACUUUAUGAAUAAGGAUCGGCUAACUCCGUGCCAGCAGCCGCGGUAAUACGGAGGAUCCGAGCGUUAUCCGGAUUUAUUGGG
This 485-nucleotide ribosomal RNA is filed under the name uncultured Bacteroidales bacterium. Its description in RNAcentral is "bacterial SSU rRNA". It matches the Rfam family "Bacterial small subunit ribosomal RNA", at positions 76 to 558 of the family's 1533-position model. The record is from RNAcentral. Lineage: Bacteria; Pseudomonadati; Bacteroidota; Bacteroidia; Bacteroidales.